GGUGGCGGCAGGUGUGUCGGGCCAUAAUAAUGGCGGCCACUUGAGUGUCACGUGACAGAGCCGCUAGGGUGUGGAGGGUCCAGGAAGGCGGUCACAGACGCUGCCUCAGCUAGCUGCCUUCUCAGGUCACAGAGCCGUGCAGAUCCAGGUCCUGGGUGACCACUCUGUCCCGAAUGAGCAAGAGACGUACCUAGUCCUGACGACAAGGGACAACGGCCUUAACGGGCCUGGAAGGUGAGCAGAGUCCCUACAACGAGUGGAACGGUUAGCGGCACUUGCUCUAUGUUCUAUCGACCUUGCUGUCGGAAGAGAGAAAUGGCAGAAUGACAUCCCCCAUUUGGCCCGCUGGAAAUGCCCACCAUCUUUUGGGAAGAUUUACUGGCUGUUUAUAGAAUGCCUGCCUAUAUAAUAUGAAAAAGCUGCUCUCAACUUCUCCCCCAAAACCUUUUAAAAGAAAACAUUUGCCACAUCCAGCCCUUCUAGAGUAAAGAGGUUGCCAACGUAUGAAGUAGAGUUAGAAAAUCACACACCUUGCAAAUUCUCAUUAGUUUAAAAAGAAGUCAUAGAAAAUGUCUUCUGGAGUUGACUUUUUGAAAUGGAGUUAUUAGACCACUUCUGGAAGCAACACGUCCACGUUUGUUCAAUGGGCUAGAGGACAUGGAGCAGAAGACCUGAGAAGGAAAAGAAGUUAGAAGACUACAUGUUGAAAGUUUGCUUUGAGCUUGGUUCUUCUUGAACAUGCAGCUUCAAAUCAAUGUCUGUCUGCUCAUAAGUUCAACCAAACCAGGACUGCCACUGGCUGCUAAAGGGAAGAAAAGGCUCCAUGAAGAAUUCCAGCGUACCUCCUGCCCUGGCAGCCAUUCUGCUGUUUCUAUGGAAACAUUCACCAGAUAGCAGCAUGCUAUACUGUGCAAGUGAAGAAGAAGGCAUCUUCCUUUCAUCACCACAUCUAGAGUGUGACCACUUCACAGAAUGAAAGAAUGUGGUGAACACAGUUCUUUAUUCUGACAGAUAAAUCGUUCAAGAGAAAGGGGCCAGAUGCCAGUGACAUUUUCUUGGACUUCCCAGCCUUUAGAACCAUGAUCCAAAUAAACUUGUAUUGUUUAUAAAUUA
RNAcentral lists this long non-coding RNA (1113 nucleotides) under Homo sapiens (human). RNAcentral describes it as "long intergenic non-protein coding RNA 1815". Lineage: Eukaryota; Metazoa; Chordata; Mammalia; Primates; Hominidae. The record is from RNAcentral.